RNAcentral lists this ribosomal RNA (373 nucleotides) under uncultured organism. RNAcentral's name for it is "partial 16S ribosomal RNA". It matches the Rfam family "Bacterial small subunit ribosomal RNA", at positions 527 to 896 of the family's 1533-position model. The record is from RNAcentral.
GUAGGUGGCAAGCGUUGUCCGGAAUUAUUGGGCGUAAAGCGCGCGCAGGCGGUUCUUUAAGUCUGAUGUGAAAGCCCACGGCUCAACCGUGGAGGGUCAUUGGAAACUGGAGAACUUGAGUACAGAAGAGGAAAGCGGAAUUCCACGUGUAGCGGUGAAAUGCGUAGAGAUGUGGAGGAACACCAGUGGCGAAGGCGGCUUUCUGGUCUGUAACUGACGCUGAGGCGCGAAAGCGUGGGGAGCAAACAGGGAUUAGAUACCCUGGUAGUCCACGCCGUAAACGAUGAGUGCUAAGUGUUAGGGGGUUUCCGCCCCCUUAGUGCUGCAGCUAACGCAUUAAGCACCCCGCCUGGGGAGUACGGCCGCAAGGCUG